This 429-nucleotide ribosomal RNA is filed under the name Actinomycetes bacterium. RNAcentral's name for it is "Actinobacteria bacterium partial 16S ribosomal RNA". It matches the Rfam family "Bacterial small subunit ribosomal RNA", at positions 355 to 776 of the family's 1533-position model. The record is from RNAcentral. Lineage: Bacteria; Bacillati; Actinomycetota; Actinomycetes.
UAGGGAAUCUUCCGCAAUGGGCGAAAGCCUGACGGAGCAACGCCGCGUGAGUGAAGAAGGUCUUCGGAUCGUAAAACUCUGUUAUUAGGGAAGAACAAAUGUGUAAGUAACUAUGCACGUCUUGACGGUACCUAAUCAGAAAGCCACGGCUAACUACGUGCCAGCAGCCGCGGUAAUACGUAGGUGGCAAGCGUUAUCCGGAAUUAUUGGGCGUAAAGCGCGCGUAGGCGGUUUUUUAAGUCUGAUGUGAAAGCCCACGGCUCAACCGUGGAGGGUCAUUGGAAACUGGAAAACUUGAGUGCAGAAGAGGAAAGUGGAAUUCCAUGUGUAGCGGUGAAAUGCGCAGAGAUAUGGAGGAACACCAGUGGCGAAGGCGACUUUCUGGUCUGUAACUGACGCUGAUGUGCGAAAGCGGGGGGAUCAAACAGG